Molecule: ribosomal RNA, 492 nt
Filed under: uncultured bacterium
Lineage: Bacteria
Description: partial 16S ribosomal RNA
Rfam family: Bacterial small subunit ribosomal RNA
Source: RNAcentral
AGUGAACGCUGGCGGUAGGCCUAACACAUGCAAGUCGAACGGCAGCACAGUAAGAGCUUGCUCUUACGGGCGUCGAGUGUCGGACGGUGGAGUAAUACAUCGGAAUAUACUUUUUCGUGGGGGCUAACGUAGGGAAACUUACGCUAAUACCGCAUACGACCUACUGGUGAAAGCAGGGGAUCUUCGGACCUUGCGCUAUGGAAUGAGCCUAUGUCGGAUUAGCUAGUUGGCGGGGUAAAGGCCCAACAAGGCGACGAUCCGUAUCUGGUCUGAGAGGAAGAUCAGACAGACUGUAUGUGAGGCACGUCCCAGACUCCUACGGGAGGCAGCAGUGGGGACUAUUGGACGAUGGAGGCAAGCCUGAUCCAGCCCUACCGCGUGAAUGAAGAACCAGUUAGGGUUGUAGAGCCCUUUUGUUGGGAAAGUAAAGCAGCUGGUUAAUCCCCCGCUGUUCUGACGGUACCCAAAGAAUAAGCACCGGCUAACUUCGUG